Molecule: transfer RNA, 72 nt
Filed under: Dictyocaulus viviparus (bovine lungworm)
Lineage: Eukaryota; Metazoa; Nematoda; Chromadorea; Rhabditida; Metastrongylidae
Rfam family: tRNA
About the family: Transfer RNA (tRNA) molecules are approximately 80 nucleotides in length. Their secondary structure includes four short double-helical elements and three loops (D, anti-codon, and T loops).
Source: Rfam by way of RNAcentral
ACCUUGGUGGUAUAAUCGGUAACACACCAGACCGGAUAUCUGUAGAAGCGAGUUCGAUUUCUGCUUAAGGUC